RNAcentral lists this ribosomal RNA (462 nucleotides) under uncultured bacterium. RNAcentral describes it as "partial 16S ribosomal RNA". It matches the Rfam family "Bacterial small subunit ribosomal RNA", at positions 28 to 507 of the family's 1533-position model. The record is from RNAcentral.
GACGAACGCUGGCGGCGUGCUUAACACAUGCAAGUCGAGCGGAAAGGCCCUUCGGGGUACUCGAGCGGCGAACGGGUGAGUAACACGUGAGUAACCUGCCCCAGACUUUGGGAUAACCCUCGGAAACGGGGGCUAAUACCGGAUACGACACAGCUUCGCAUGGGGUCUGUGUGGAAAGUUUUUCGGUUUGGGAUGGGCUCGCGGCCUAUCAGCUUGUUGGUGGGGUGAUGGCCUACCAAGGCGACGACGGGUAGCCGGCCUGAGAGGGCGACCGGCCACACUGGGACUGAGACACGGCCCAGUCUCCUACGGGAGGCAGCAGUGGGGAAUAUUGCACAAUGGGCGGAAGCCUGAUGCAGCGACGCCGCGUGAGGGAUGACGGCCUUCGGGUUGUAAACCUCUUUCAGCAGGGACGAAGCGUAAGUGACGGUACCUGCAGAAGAAGCGCCGGCCAACUACGUG